This 279-nucleotide unclassified non-coding RNA is filed under the name Hevea brasiliensis (rubber tree). The record is from RNAcentral. Lineage: Eukaryota; Viridiplantae; Streptophyta; Magnoliopsida; Malpighiales; Euphorbiaceae.
AGUCACACAAAUAUCAGAUAAUUUAGUUAUUAUUAUGAUGCAAAUUUUGAGAUCUGGAUUUCUUUUACAUAGCAUUUACACAGUUAAAAUAACAUUUUUAAUUGAAAUAAUUUAUUAUACUUACAGGAUAUUAGAAAAUUUGUCCAGUCAUUCUUAUUUCAUUCCAAAACAUAAUAUUUUGCAUAUUUUUUAUUGCAUAUGCAAUCCUAAAUAAGUGUUUUGUAUUAUGGAUAAUUUUAUUUUCUGUAGGGCUUAAGACUUCAUUAUUACAUAUCAAAU